Molecule: ribosomal RNA, 518 nt
Filed under: uncultured bacterium
Lineage: Bacteria
Description: bacterial SSU rRNA
Rfam family: Bacterial small subunit ribosomal RNA
Source: RNAcentral
GGGAAUCUACCUUUUGCUACGGAAUAACUCAGGGAAACUUGUGCUAAUACCGUAUGUGCCCUUCGGGGGAAAGAUUUAUCGGCAAAGGAUGAGCCCGCGUUGGAUUAGCUAGUUGGUGGGGUAAAGGCCCACCAAGGCGACGAUCCAUAGCUGGUCUGAGAGGAUGAUCAGCCACACUGGGACUGAGACACGGCCCAGACUCCUACGGGAGGCAGCAGUGGGGAAUAUUGGACAAUGGGCGCAAGCCUGAUCCAGCCAUGCCGCGUGAGUGAUGAAGGCCUAGGGUUGUAAAGCUCUUUCACCGGUGAAGAUAAUGACGGUAACCGGAGAAGAAGCCCCGGCUAACUUCGUGCCAGCAGCCGCGGUAAUACGAGGGGGCUAGCGUUGUUCGGAUUUACUGGGCGUAAAGCGCACGUAGGCGGACUUUUAAGUCAGGGGUGAAAUCCCAGAGCUCAACUCUGGAACUGCCUUUGAUACUGGAAGUCUUGAGUAUGGUAGAGGUGAGUGGAAUUCCGAGU